RNAcentral lists this small nuclear RNA (26 nucleotides) under Arabidopsis thaliana (thale cress). RNAcentral's name for it is "snRNA_11409". Lineage: Eukaryota; Viridiplantae; Streptophyta; Magnoliopsida; Brassicales; Brassicaceae. The record is from RNAcentral.
GCGGCCGUCGGUGCAGAUCUUGGUGG